AUGGCCGACGAGGGGAAGCACCUGGAGACGGGCCGGGCCGACCGCUCCGUCUGGCUCAUGAAGUGCCCGACCAUCGUCUCGCGCGCCUGGCAGGAGGCCGCCGCCGCCGCCGCCGCCGCCGAUGCGGGAGGCCCCAACCCUAACCCUAACCCCGUCGUCGCCAAGGUCAUCCUCUCCUUCGACCCGCUCAGCACCGACGAGGACCCGAACCAGUUCAAGAUGGAGAUGGCUCAAACUAAUAAUGGCAACACACCGAAGAAUUACUCUUUAAAUAUGUUCAAGGAUUUUGUGCCAAUGUGUGUUUUCUCAGAGUCUAACCAAGGGGUAAGACUAGGUUCCUAUAAUCCCUCCCCAGACCCCACCUUGUAUGGGAGCUUCUAUGCACUGGGUAAGCUUGCAUGCGAAGGAAAAGUCGAGCACAAAUUUGACAUGGAACCGCACAAAGAAAACCUUUCAGACUAUGCAAAAUUAUGCCGUGAGAGGACUAAAAAUUCUAUGAUUAAAACAAGAAAAGUGCAUGUACUUGACAAGGAGCAUGUGAACGUGCGCACAAUGAUUAGCAUGAUUGGUGGCGGGCCUCAUUCUGGUCCAAAGGACAAGAAGAAGCCGGCGCCAACCAGAACUCCUGAAGUGAAAAGAACACGCAGGGAUCGUGGGGACAUUGAAAACAUCCUAUUCAAGUUAUUUGAGAGGCAGCCGAAUUGGUCACUGAGGCAUCUAAUGCAGGAAACUGAUCAACCAGAGCAAUUCCUGAAGGAGAUAAUGAACGAUCUUUGUGUCUACAACAAGAGAGGACCGAAUCAAGGGACACAUGAGCUCAAGCCUGAAUACAAGAAGUCUGUUGAGGACACUAGCGCGACCUGA
This 864-nucleotide ribosomal RNA is filed under the name Triticum aestivum (bread wheat). Its description in RNAcentral is "partial small subunit ribosomal RNA". The record is from RNAcentral. Lineage: Eukaryota; Viridiplantae; Streptophyta; Magnoliopsida; Poales; Poaceae.